CGCGUAGGCUGUUGAGUAAGUCAAAUGUGAAAUCCCCGGGCUUAACCUGGGAACUGCAUUCGAUACUGCUUAACUAGAGUAUGGUAGAGGGAAGUGGAAUUCCAGGUGUAGCGGUGAAAUGCGUAGAUAUCUGGAGGAACAUCAGUGGCGAAGGCGACUUCCUGGACCAAUACUGACGCUGAGGUGCGAAAGCGUGGGGAGGCAAACA
RNAcentral lists this ribosomal RNA (208 nucleotides) under uncultured bacterium. RNAcentral's name for it is "partial 16S ribosomal RNA". It matches the Rfam family "Bacterial small subunit ribosomal RNA", at positions 568 to 774 of the family's 1533-position model. The record is from RNAcentral.